RNAcentral lists this ribosomal RNA (442 nucleotides) under Stutzerimonas stutzeri. Its description in RNAcentral is "bacterial SSU rRNA". It matches the Rfam family "Bacterial small subunit ribosomal RNA", at positions 30 to 469 of the family's 1533-position model. The record is from RNAcentral. Lineage: Bacteria; Pseudomonadati; Pseudomonadota; Gammaproteobacteria; Pseudomonadales; Pseudomonadaceae.
AUUGAACGCUGGCGGCAGGCCUAACACAUGCAAGUCGAGCGGAUGAAGAGAGCUUGCUCUCUGAUUCAGCGGCGGACGGGUGAGUAAUGCCUAGGAAUCUGCCUAUUAGUGGGGGACAACGUUUCGAAAGGAACGCUAAUACCGCAUACGUCCUACGGGAGAAAGCAGGGGACCUUCGGGCCUUGCGCUAAUAGAUGAGCCUAGGUCGGAUUAGCUAGUUGGUGAGGUAAAGGCUCACCAAGGCGACGAUCCGUAACUGGUCUGAGAGGAUGAUCAGUCACACUGAAACUGAGACACGGUCCAGACUCCUACGGGAGGCAGCAGUGGGGAAUAUUGGACAAUGGGCGAAAGCCUGAUCCAGCCAUGCCGCGUGUGUGAAGAAGGUCUUCGGAUUGUAAAGCACUUUAAGUUGGGAGGAAGGGCAGUAAGUUAAUACCUUGCU